GGGGGGGGGGGGGGGGGGGCGGGGCGCGGGGAGGGCGAGCGGGGAGGGGGGGCGGGUGGGGGGUGGUCGCGGGGCGAACGGGGGAGUAGCCCGUGAGUAACCGGGGCUGGAGUGUGGUCGAAAGUCAGGCAACUGGGGCUAAUCCCGGAUCGGAGCUCCAGAUGCAGAGUGGGGGGUGGCAGACUGCGGCGGUGGUGGAGCGACUCGCGGGUUAUGAUGUUGUUGGUGGGGUAGUGGCAUACCAAGGCAUUGACGGGUAGCCUGCCUGCGAGGGGGACCUGCCACAUUGGGACUGAGAUACGGCCCAGACUCCUACGGGAGGCAGCAGUGGGGAAUAUUGCACAAUGGGCGGAAGCCUGAUGCAGCAACGCCGCGUGCGGGAUGACGGCCUUCGGGUUGUAAACCGCUUUCGCCUGUGACGAAGCGUGAGUGACGGUAAUGGGUAAAGAAGCACCGGCUAACUACGUG
This 468-nucleotide ribosomal RNA is filed under the name uncultured bacterium. RNAcentral's name for it is "partial 16S ribosomal RNA". The stretch from base 56 to 468 matches the Rfam family "Bacterial small subunit ribosomal RNA", at positions 39 to 507 of the family's 1533-position model. The record is from RNAcentral.